GUGUCUUUCCCUCAAGUUGUUGAUCUUGGUCAGGGAGUUCUCAUUCCUGACAUGGCUCACAACUCCAGUUCAAGACAAUCUCGAAAAUCUCCCCAAUCAGGAUCCUGUAAUUACUAUUGAAAAUCAAACUCAACAACCUCAAGAAACUGAAGUGCCAUUAAGGAGAUCCACUAGAGAGAGGAGAAAUGCAAUUCCGGAUGAUUAUGUUGUAUUUCNNNN
Molecule: long non-coding RNA, 219 nt
Filed under: Nicotiana benthamiana
Lineage: Eukaryota; Viridiplantae; Streptophyta; Magnoliopsida; Solanales; Solanaceae
Description: long non-coding RNA (NBEN_LNC036601)
Source: RNAcentral